AGAGAAAGACGGAACCACUCACCCCUAGCGCUUUCUCGAAAACGUGAAUUUAUCGAGACGAAUUGGUAAAAUAGAAUAAGGGAGAAAAGCAAGUCAAUGGUUGGUUGGUAGUGGGACCUCCUUGCAGCCUUUAUCACGUGAGGGACCAGCUAGCCUGCCUUACUACAUUCUACACAGAUUCUGUCUCUGGAGAAAUUGGAGGGACACAAACGUUCGUAGUAACAGAUCCACCUCCUCUGAAUCCAGGGAAAUGUUUUCCCCUGGGAAAAAAAAACGGUUGACUGAGCAAAGGAAAGCCUCUGCCUCACAUGUGGGGGAACUCCGCAAUAAGUUAAAAGCCAUCCUGAAGAAAAAGUAUCAAAGUCCGCCAGGGGGGGAGACUGAGCAUCCAUUUUAUAUACAUUGCGAUCUCCACUAUCAAGCUGGUGAAAGUAGCAAGGGGAACCAACAUGAGUAUAUUUUAACUGAGCCAGGCUACAGGAGAAGACACCAAGGAACAUGCUCAUCCCUAAA
Molecule: long non-coding RNA, 513 nt
Organism: Coregonus clupeaformis (lake whitefish)
Lineage: Eukaryota; Metazoa; Chordata; Actinopteri; Salmoniformes; Salmonidae
Exons: 3
Source: RefSeq, a predicted model, not a curated record